Molecule: ribosomal RNA, 433 nt
Filed under: uncultured bacterium
Lineage: Bacteria
Description: partial 16S ribosomal RNA
Rfam family: Bacterial small subunit ribosomal RNA
Source: RNAcentral
AACGAACGCUGGCGGCAUGCCUAACACAUGCAAGUCGAACGAGACCUUCCUUUCUAGUGGCGCACGGGUGCGUAACGCGUGGGAACCCGCCCUUAGGUUCGGAAUAACUCCCCGAAAGGGGUGCUAAUACCGGUAAAUGUCCUCGGACCAAAGAGUUAUCGCCUUUGGAUGUGCCCGCGUUUGAUUAGCUGGUUGGUAGGGUAAAAGCCUACCAAUGGGUGGAUCCACAGCUUGGCAGAGAGGAUGGUCAGCCACACUGAGACUGAGAAACGGUGCAGACUCUUGGGGGAGGGAGGAAUGGGGAAUAUUGGAAAAUGGGGGGAAGCAUGAUCCAGCAAUGCCGGGUGAGUAAUGAAGGUGUUAAGGUUGGAAAGCUAUUUUACCCGGGAUGAUAAUGACAGUACCGGGAGAAUAAGCUCCGGCUAACUCCGUG